Molecule: long non-coding RNA, 462 nt
Filed under: Vulpes vulpes (red fox)
Lineage: Eukaryota; Metazoa; Chordata; Mammalia; Carnivora; Canidae
Description: lncRNA (ENSVVUG00000001082.1)
Source: RNAcentral
AGUGCGCGGGGCCCCCGGGCGAGCCGAGGGCCGGGUGGGUGCGCCCCGGGUGGCCGACGCGCCCGCUGAGCCCUGCCGACGGGCCCCGUCCCGUGUCGAAACACCGAGAAAUCCCCUUUCCUCCACCCCCACCGCAAGAUGGAACCGAAANGGCGAGCCGAGGGCCGGGUGGGUGCGCCCCGGGUGGCCGAGCCGCCCGCUGAGCCCUGCCGACGGGCCCCGUCCCGUGUCGAAACACCGAGAAAUCCCCUUUCCUCCACCCCCACCGCAAGAUCAGGAACCGAAAUAGGCCCCCGAGUUGCACUGCACAGAAUUCAGAGGACUCGGGCUUCGUCUCGGGGGAGACAGAAGCUCGGCAAAGAUAAUGAUGUUCUGUGCAGAACCAGUGGGGGGAGAACAGCAUCUGCCUGCGUAAAGCUUGUCAGCGAUUAUCAGCAAAAUCGAUUGUAUACUAUGAAAUAA